This 440-nucleotide ribosomal RNA is filed under the name uncultured bacterium. RNAcentral describes it as "bacterial SSU rRNA". It matches the Rfam family "Bacterial small subunit ribosomal RNA", at positions 338 to 795 of the family's 1533-position model. The record is from RNAcentral.
CCUACGGGAGGCUGCAGUGGGGAAUAUUGCACAAUGGGCGAAAGCCUGAUGCAGCAACGCCGCGUGAGCGAUGAAGGUCUUCGGGUCGUAAAGCUCUGUCCUAAGGGAAGAAUACUGACGGUACCUUAGGAGGAAGCCCCGGCGAACUACGUGCCAGCAGCCGCGGUAAUACGUAGGGGGCUAGCGUUAUCCGGAAUUACUGGGCGUAAAGGGUGCGUAGGCGGCCCUUCAAGUCAGUGGUGAAAGGCUACGGCUCAACCGUAGUAAGCCUUUGAGACUGUAGGGCUUGAGGGCAGGAGAGGAGAGUGGAACUCCCAGGGUAGGGGUGAAGUGCGUAGAUAUUGGGAGGAACACCAGUUGCGAAGGCGGCUCUCUGGACUGUAACUGACGCUGAGGCACGAAAGUGUGGGGAGCGAACAGGAUUAGAUACCCUAGUAGUC